GAUGAACGCUGGCGGCGUGCCUAAUACAUGCAAGUCGAGCGAACGGACGAGAAGCUUGCUUUUCUGAUGUUAGCGGCGGACGGGUGAGUAACACGUGGAUAACCUACCUAUAAGACUGGGAUAACUUCGGGAAACCGGAGCUAAUACCGGAUAAUAUUUUGAACCGCAUGGUUCAAAAGUGAAAGACGGUCUUGCUGUCACUUAUAGAUGGAUCCGCGCUGCAUUAGCUAGUUGGUAAGGUAACGGCUUACCAAGGCAACGAUGCAUAGCCGACCUGAGAGGGUGAUCGGCCACAAUGGAACUGAGACACGGUCCAGACUCCUACGGGAGGCAGCAGUAGGGAAUCUUCCGCAAUGGGCGAAAGCCUGACGGAGCAACGCCGCGUGAGUGAUGAAGGUCUUCGGAUCGUAAAACUCUGUUAUUAGGGAAGAACAUAUGUGUAAGUAACUGUGCACAUCUUGACGGUACCUAAUCAGAAAGCCACGGCUAACUACGU
RNAcentral lists this ribosomal RNA (496 nucleotides) under uncultured bacterium. Its description in RNAcentral is "partial 16S ribosomal RNA". It matches the Rfam family "Bacterial small subunit ribosomal RNA", at positions 28 to 506 of the family's 1533-position model. The record is from RNAcentral.